RNAcentral lists this unclassified non-coding RNA (357 nucleotides) under Hevea brasiliensis (rubber tree). Lineage: Eukaryota; Viridiplantae; Streptophyta; Magnoliopsida; Malpighiales; Euphorbiaceae. The record is from RNAcentral.
GGGGGUUGUUGGGGUUUGAAUUGUCAAUUUUAAAGCAUGCAUUACUGAACAAUUAAGUUACUAAUACAAUUAAAAUUAGUUUAUUAUAUAAUGUGGAUGUAUGUUGAAAUAUACUGGAAUCUCUGGAUAAAUAUAUUGAAGAAUGAAAAUUAUAAAUCACCUAAUGGUUGCAGGAAUAGAAGGAGAUUCAUUGUGUACAUGUAUAUUGCAAAAAUAUGCAUCCUUUCCUAUUGGGCUUUCUGUUGUUUUUAUCAAUAUUUGAUUUUCACCUUUGAUGAAGUUUAACAUGCUGUUCUUUUUUGAACAAUGGCACACUUCUACAAUGGACAUCAGAUAUUCAACAACAUAUUUAAGCAG